Molecule: ribosomal RNA, 245 nt
Filed under: uncultured bacterium
Lineage: Bacteria
Description: partial small subunit ribosomal RNA
Rfam family: Bacterial small subunit ribosomal RNA
Source: RNAcentral
AGAAUCAACGCUGGCGGCGUGCCUAACACAUGCAAGUCGAACGAGAAAGUGGAGCAAUCCAUGAGUAAAGUGGCGCACGGGUGAGUAACACGUGACUAACCUACCCUUGAGUGGGGGAUAACCUCGGGAAACCGGGGCUAAUACCGCAUAAUAUCGAGAGAUCAAAGGAGCAAUUCGCUUAAGGAGGGGGUCGCGGCUGAUUAGCUAGUUGGUAGGGUAAUGGCCUACCAAGGCUAUGAUCAGUA